Molecule: transfer RNA, 72 nt
Filed under: Bos taurus (domestic cattle)
Lineage: Eukaryota; Metazoa; Chordata; Mammalia; Artiodactyla; Bovidae
Also listed under: 1 other name
Rfam family: tRNA
About the family: Transfer RNA (tRNA) molecules are approximately 80 nucleotides in length. Their secondary structure includes four short double-helical elements and three loops (D, anti-codon, and T loops).
Source: Rfam by way of RNAcentral
UCCCUGGUGGUCCUGUGGUUAGGACUCUGUGCUUCUAAUGCUGGGGCCCAGGUUUGAUCCCUGGUCAGGAAA